GACGAACGCUGGCGGCGUGCUUAACACAUGCAAGUCGAACGGAAAGGCCCUGCUUUUGUGGGGUGCUCGAGUGGCGAACGGGUGAGUAACACGUGAGUAACCUGCCCUUGACUUUGGUAUAACUUCAGGAAACUGGGGCUAAUACCGGAUAUGAGCUCCUGCUGCAUGGUGGGGGUUGGAAAGUUUCGGCGGUUGGGGAUGGACUCGCGGCUUAUCAGCUUGUUGGUGGGGUAGUGGCUUACCAAGGCUUUGACGGGUAGCCGGCCUGGGAGGGUGACCGGCCACAUUGGGACUGAGAUACGGCCCAGACUCCUACGGGAGGCAGAAGUGGGGAAUAUUGCAAAAUGGGCGGAAGCCUGAUGCAGCAACGCCGCGUGCGGGAUGACGGCCUUCGGGUUGUAAACCGCUUUCGCCUGUGACGAAGCGUGAGUGACGGUAAUGGGUAAAGAAGCACCGGCUAACUACGUG
This 468-nucleotide ribosomal RNA is filed under the name uncultured bacterium. RNAcentral's name for it is "partial 16S ribosomal RNA". It matches the Rfam family "Bacterial small subunit ribosomal RNA", at positions 28 to 507 of the family's 1533-position model. The record is from RNAcentral.